UGCCAGCCGCCGCGGUAAUACGGAGGGUGCAAGCGUUAAUCGGAAUUACUGGGCGUAAAGCGCGCGUAGGCGGCUUUGUAAGUCGGAUGUGAAAGCCCUGGGCUUAACCUGGGAAUGGCAUUCGAUACUGCAGAGCUAGAGUAUGGUAGAGGGAAGUGGAAUUUCCGGUGUAGCGGUGAAAUGCGUAGAUAUCGGAAGGAACACCGGUGGCGAAGGCGACUUCCUGGGCCAAUACUGACGCUGAGGCGCGAAAGCUAGGGUAGCAAACGGGAUUAGAUA
This 279-nucleotide ribosomal RNA is filed under the name uncultured bacterium. RNAcentral describes it as "partial 16S ribosomal RNA". It matches the Rfam family "Bacterial small subunit ribosomal RNA", at positions 506 to 784 of the family's 1533-position model. The record is from RNAcentral.